Non-coding RNA from Mesocricetus auratus (golden hamster), 219 nucleotides. The record is from Rfam. NCBI's taxonomy places the organism in Eukaryota, Metazoa, Chordata, Mammalia, Rodentia, Cricetidae.
AAGACUAUACUUUCAGGGAUCAUUUCUAUAGUUUGUUACUAUUUAUCAAAGACACUAAGUAAAAAUGGUCACUUUAUUUUCCUACUGUGAGUACAUGACAUUGAAAAAUAUGGUUGUGUGGUUGAGGUCACUGACUAGAUUUGUGUUCCGGUCCCAGCAAUUUAUACACCAUUGUUUUGCAUUGUCAGUGACAAUGUCAACACAGUGGAAAGGGUAAAA